RNAcentral lists this ribosomal RNA (1123 nucleotides) under Lophiosphaera velata. RNAcentral describes it as "LSU rRNA". It matches the Rfam family "Eukaryotic large subunit ribosomal RNA", at positions 74 to 1401 of the family's 3401-position model. The record is from RNAcentral. Lineage: Eukaryota; Fungi; Ascomycota; Dothideomycetes; Pleosporales; Lophiostomataceae.
AUUACCUCAGUAACGGCGAGUGAAGCGGUAACAGCUCAAAUUUGAAAGCUGCCAACAGGCCGCGUUGUAAUUUGUAGAAGAUGCUUUGGGUGUCGGCCUAGUCUAAGUUCCUUGGAACAGGACGUCAUAGAGGGUGAGAAUCCCGUAUGUGAUUAGUGCCGGCAUCCGUGUAAAGCUCUUUCGACGAGUCGAGUUGUUUGGGAAUGCAGCUCAAAAUGGGUGGUAAAUUUCAUCUAAAGCUAAAUAUUGGCCAGAGACCGAUAGCGCACAAGUAGAGUGAUCGAAAGAUGAAAAGCACUUUGGAAAGAGAGUUAAACAGUACGUGAAAUUGUUGAAAGGGAAGCGCUUGCAAUCAGACUUGCGGGCGGUCGAUCAUCCGAGGUUCUCCCCGGUGCACUCGAUCGUUCUCAGGCCAGCAUCGGUUUCGGUGGUGGGAUAAAGGCUGUGGGAAUGUGGCUCUUCGGAGUGUUAUAGCCCACGGUGCAAUGCCGCCUACCGGGACCGAGGACCGCGCUUCGGCUAGGAUGCUGGCGUAAUGGUUGUAAGCGACCCGUCUUGAAACACGGACCAAGGAGUCUAACAUCUAUGCGAGUGUUUGGGUGUCAAACCCAUACGCGUAAUGAAAGUGAACGGAGGUGAGAACCCUUUAGGGUGCAUCAUCGACCGAUCCUGAUGUCUUCGGAUGGAUUUGAGUAAGAGCAUAGCUGUUGGGACCCGAAAGAUGGUGAACUAUGCGUGAAUAGGGUGAAGCCAGAGGAAACUCUGGUGGAGGCUCGCAGCGGUUCUGACGUGCAAAUCGAUCGUCAAAUUUGCGUAUAGGGGCGAAAGACUAAUCGAACCAUUGGAAAUACUACUAGGUGGUUAAGAGACAGGGGAUCUAGUCCGCCAAACGGCGGGCAACACUCUCAAAUUGCGGGGACGUCUUGUCAAGGUAUCGCUACCGCAGCCCUCUGGAAACAGGGGCGAGCMCCGGCUCCGGCUGGGGAUGGUAACAACGUGAGCACCUAGAGAUGAUCCGCAGCCAAUUCCUACGGGCCCUCCGGGGCCUACGGAUGCAGUUCACAGACUAAAUGUGAGUGGGCUUACCGAGCUUAAGUGAUAGUCGACCCCCCGCGAGAGCGGG